GACGAACGCUGGCGGCGUGCCUAAUACAUGCAAGUUGAGCGGUGAAGGAUGGUACUUGUGCCAACUGGGUGAGCAGCGAACGGGUGAGUAACGCGUGGGGAAUCUGCUUUUGAGCGGGGGACAACAUUGGGAAACGAAUGCUAAUACCGCAUAAAAACUUUAAACACAAGGUUUAAGUUUGAAAGAGGCAAUUGCAUCACUCAAAGAUGAUCCCGCGUUUUAUUAGUUAGGUGGUGAGGUAAAGGCUCACCAAGGCGAUGAUACAUAGUCGAACUGCGAGGGGGGUAGGCCAAACUGGGAAUGAGACCAGGCACAAAAUCCUACGGGAGGCAGCAGUAGGGGAUCUUCGGAAAUGGACGGAAGUCUGACCGCGCAACGCCGCGGGAGUGAAGAAGGUUUUCGGAUCGUAAAACUCUGUUGGUAGGGAAGAAAGUUGGUGAGAGUGGAAAGCUCAUCAAGUGACGGUAACUACCCAGAAAGGAACGGCUAACUACGUG
RNAcentral lists this ribosomal RNA (497 nucleotides) under uncultured bacterium. RNAcentral describes it as "partial 16S ribosomal RNA". It matches the Rfam family "Bacterial small subunit ribosomal RNA", at positions 28 to 507 of the family's 1533-position model. The record is from RNAcentral.